AAAAGUGCAGCUGGGCAUGGUGGCACAUACCUGUAUUCCCAGCACUGGGGAGGCUGAGGCAGGAGGAU
RNAcentral lists this microRNA precursor (68 nucleotides) under Chinchilla lanigera (long-tailed chinchilla). RNAcentral's name for it is "miRNA (ENSCLAG00000021259.1)". The record is from RNAcentral. Lineage: Eukaryota; Metazoa; Chordata; Mammalia; Rodentia; Chinchillidae.